This 430-nucleotide ribosomal RNA is filed under the name bacterium. RNAcentral describes it as "partial 16S ribosomal RNA". It matches the Rfam family "Bacterial small subunit ribosomal RNA", at positions 355 to 776 of the family's 1533-position model. The record is from RNAcentral.
UGGGGAAUAUUGGACAAUGGGCGGAAGCCUGAUCCAGCCAUGCCGCGUGUGUGAAGAAGGCCUUUUGGUUGUAAAGCACUUUAAGCGAGGAGGAGGCUACUUGGAUUAAUACUCUAGGAUAGUGGACGUUACUCGCAGAAUAAGCACCGGCUAACUCUGUGCCAGCAGCCGCGGUAAUACAGAGGGUGCGAGCGUUAAUCGGAUUUGCUGGGCGUAAAGCGUGCGUAGGCGGCUUCUUAAGUCGGAUGUGAAAUCCCUGAGCUUAACUUAGGAAUUGCAUUCGAUACUGGGAAGCUAGAGUAUGGGAGAGGAUGGUAGAAUUCCAGGUGUAGCGGUGAAAUGCGUAGAGAUCUGGAGGAAUACCGAUGGCGAAGGCAGCCAUCUGGCCUAAUACUGACGCUGAGGUACGAAAGCAUGGGGAGCAAACAGG